Molecule: ribosomal RNA, 245 nt
Filed under: uncultured bacterium
Lineage: Bacteria
Description: partial 16S ribosomal RNA
Rfam family: Bacterial small subunit ribosomal RNA
Source: RNAcentral
UGCGAAGGCAAGCGGAUCUCUUAAAGCUGUUCUCAGUUCGGACUGCAGUCUGCAACUCGGCUGCAUGAAGCUGGAAUCGCUAGUAAUCGCAGAUCAGAAUGCUGCGGUGAAUACGUUCCCGGGUCUUGUACACACCGCCCGUCACACCAUGGGAGUUGGAAAUGCCCGAAGUCAGUGACCGAACCGAAAGGAAGGAGCUGCCGAAGGUGGAGCCGAUGACUGGGGUGAAGUCGUAACAAGGUAUC